UCUUCAGGACAAGGGAUCGUUAAUCCACCCAUUGGAUGAUCGAACCCAAACUCUUCUUCUGAUUUACUGAGAAGAGCUUGAAACGAAGGUUGGGUCAAGUAUGAGACUGGCACCACAUAUCUCUUCUUCUGACUCUCUCCUACGUACACCGCAAGAAACCCCUUUGGUGUCGCCGAGGCUGCCAUUUUGCUUGUUGCGGCUCCAAGAAUCUUCUUUGCACCCAAUAGAUUUCUCACGAAAGCCAUUUCUGUUUUUUUUAAGGACUGAAAAUUUGAAUUCUUAUGAAACUUCUGAAAAUGUAUGAAAAGAUGUAAGUUAUUGGAUAUAUUGCUUGUUUGUUGGUUGAUGAUGGAAAGAAUAGGUAGUGUGAUAUGUAUAUAUAGAAAGAUCAAUGAACGAGUUGAAGCAUCUCUGAAAAGUCUUUGAAACUUGUAGUCUUCAAGUGUGGGUCAUACUAGAAUAGAGUUUCACAUGCUUCUGUCUUUACCAAAGUUAUAGCUAAAUGCAUUUUUUUCUUGAUGAGAUUAUUAAUUGAGUGGUGACAAUAAACUCCAUAUGCACGUCACAAGGGACUGUUUUUCUCAAUGUUUAUUGAGAUAAGACAUGCUAUUCUCUAUAAUAAAGACCAGCAAGUUUCUGUUCUUCAUGUUCUGUGGUGAUCAUAUUCUCUCAUCUCUGUGGUCUUAGGGGAUUUAAUUUAAUGAGAACGUAAAGUGGGGACCUGCGGUUUCUCAACAACAGAACAGCAAGUCUCUGUCACAGGUGAAGUUGUUCUUUGAUUAUAUCCUCAACUAGGAUCACACAUGACAGCUUUCCUAGAAGACAGAACCAUGUGAAGCUCUGUUUGUGUAUGUCCCAUGCUUCCAAUGGUUGCAGGGUUGUUUUCAGUCCUUCAUCAUAUUUAUACAUCCAGAGACAGAACCAACUCUUCAAAUUACCAAGUAGCAAAAAGCGAUACAAACCUUGAAUCUGAGUAUCUAACCUUUCUUGAGAAGCUUCAAAAUUCAAUUUUCCGGACACAAGAAAUGUCAUCAAAGCAGAGAAUAAUUACAUGAGAACGACGUAACUCGUCUUACAGUCAAUCAACCAAUCAUCAUUUCUUGAUUAGUAUCUGAAAUAGAGUCAUGUGGAACGUUGUUUGGGAAGUCCACAAGUUUCAACUCAUAUCAUUGAUUCAAGAAGUGGAUGAUUGAUUGAUUGAUUGACUGUGUUGUCUACACAAUCAGCGUUUCACAUGAAUCUCUCUUUCAAAUAUUAAUCAAGAAGUGGAUGAUUGAUUGAUUGAUUGAUUGAUUGAUUGAUUGACUGUGAACAGCAGUCUUGUCUUCGCUGCUGAAGUCAGUUCUAAGUAAAGGAAAAAGUUGAGUAUCCAUCCAUAGGCUCUGGUAGGACUAUGAAUAAGAGAUAAAAGUGCCGGUACAUCAGUUCAUGUAACAGUUCUAAUACAGCUAUCCGGUUACUUUUCAUCUCUUUUCAUUCUGUUUAACUUUGUCAUCUCUUUCUUUGUUACAUAAAAAGACUUCAAUGGAUGAUGAACACUUCACUUAUUUUAUUCAACUAGUAAGAUAUAAUUUAAAUAGAAGAAUGGUCGUUGUCCUUUGUUUUUCAAUGAUUGAUCAAAAGUGCAUUAGUUUAACAUGAAAAUGGUAUUUACUUUCAAAACUUUAGAAGAAAGUAAAGGAGAAAAGCUCCUAUAAUUUACAAAGAAUAAGUCUAUUGCUAACUCAUGAAGAAGAAAAGAUCUGGAUAAUCAUCAUCAUUGGAGCCUAGACGUUACGUUUAUGAAUAUAUCUUCAGGACAAGGGAUGGUUAAGCCACCCAUCGGAUGAUCAAACCCAAACUCUUCCUCGGAUUUACUGAGUAGCGCUUGAAAAGAAGGCUGGCUCAAGUAUGAGAUUGGCACCACAUAGAAAGACCAGUGAAUAUAAUGUGUUGAAAAGUCUUUGAAACUUGUGGUCUUUGAAGCGUGGGACAGAGUAGAACAGAGAGUAUCACAUGGUUCUGUCUUUAGCAUCUUGAAAAGAAGCAUCAUUGCAAUUUGUUGCCCACUUGGAUAGUACUCUCCUAGUCCCUAUGCAGUUCACAAGGGAUUGUCUUCUCAAUGUUUCUGAGAUAAGACGUCUCCACUUGCACCGUUUCUGUGAAUCUGUGAUGAUUUAGUGGUUGGCUCUCUUGCUUAUCCUCUAAACUCUAUGGUUGAAAUAAAUUUAAUAAUAACUUAAAGUAGGGACCUGUUGUUCCUGAACAACAGAACAGAAAACACAUGUUUUUGUCACUGGUUAAGUUAAUUCGGUAAUUUACACAUGACAAUUCUAAGUAAAACUAUUUCGGCCUUUGAGGUUUGCUAGAUAAAGAGAAAACAGAGCACAGAAGAUACAUUUGAUCAAAUGACUGAUAUUGUUACUUGAGUUGUAAGACUGAUAAAUAGUAAGACAUAAAUAUUGAAAGCUGAGAAUGCAUUCACUCCCUUGGAGAUGUAGUCUGGUUCUUCUAACUUUAGCUUUUAGAAUUUUGAUAAGAAAGAUAAUGGAGAAGCUGUUGUUACAAGAAACUGCCGGUUUUGUAAACUAUCGUAUUUGUUGGCACCAGUUUAACGGUAAAAGAGAGAAACUGAGAAAAUCUCGAAAAGGGUAAAAAGGACUUUCUAGCAGAUAAAUUGGUUAAGUUGAGCUACGGAUCCAUAUGAAAAUGCUCAUUUAAUUUGUUAAUGGCAACCAAAGUACAAAAUAUAUAGUUCUUUACUUGCUGUUGUCAUUUCUAUUUCAAUAAUCAAAUCUAAAGUGUAUUAAUUUAACACGAAUCAUGAUUGUGCCUAUAACUGAAAAAUGGUAUUUACUUUCAAAAAAUUUAGAACAACUUUUUCAAGAUGAAAGAGAAAAACGUUUCUCCUCUAUUUACAAAGAACAUGUCUAUCUCUAUCUCGAAGAACAAUAUGUUGGAUAAUCAUCGUUGAAGCCGGGAAGUCACAUUGAUGAAGAUAUCUUCAGGACAAGGGAUCGUUAAACCACCCAUUGGAUGAUCAAACCCAAACUCUUCUUCGGAUUUGCUGAGAAGAGCUUGAAAUGAAGGCUGGCUCAAGUAUGAGACUGGCACCACAUAUCUCUUCUUCUGACCCUCUCCUACGUACACAGCAAGAAACCCCUUUGGUGCCGCCGAGGUUGCACUUUUGCUUGUUGCUACUGAGAGGGAGCGGCCAAGAAUCUUCUUUGCACC
This 3213-nucleotide long non-coding RNA is filed under the name Brassica napus (rape). RNAcentral's name for it is "long non-coding RNA (BNAP_LNC008878)". The record is from RNAcentral. Lineage: Eukaryota; Viridiplantae; Streptophyta; Magnoliopsida; Brassicales; Brassicaceae.